RNAcentral lists this ribosomal RNA (593 nucleotides) under uncultured Streptomyces sp. RNAcentral's name for it is "bacterial SSU rRNA". It matches the Rfam family "Bacterial small subunit ribosomal RNA", at positions 317 to 916 of the family's 1533-position model. The record is from RNAcentral. Lineage: Bacteria; Bacillati; Actinomycetota; Actinomycetes; Kitasatosporales; Streptomycetaceae.
GCCUGCAGUCGACGAUUCCUACGGGAGGCAGCAGUGGGGAAUAUUGCGCAAUGGGCGAAAGCCUGACGCAGCAACGCCGCGUGGACGAUGAAGGCCUUCGGGUUGUAAAGUCCUGUCAGGAGGGACGAAGUCUCGCUUGCGAGAUGACGGUACCUCCAGAGGAAGCCCCGGCUAAUUACGUGCCAGCAGCCGCGGUAAUACGUAGGGGGCAAGCGUUGUCCGGAUUUAUUGGGCGUAAAGAGCACGUAGGCGGUUUACCAGGUCAGGUGUGAAAACUUCGGGCUUAACCCGGAGCCUGCACUUGAAACCGGUAGACUAGAGUCUAGGAGAGGAGAGUGGAAUUCCCAGUGUAGCGGUGAAAUGCGCAGAUAUUGGGAAGAACACCGGUGGCGAAGGCGGCUCUCUGGACUGCGACUGACGCUGAGGUGCGAAAGCUAGGGUAGCAAACAGGAUUAGAUACCCUGGUAGUCCUAGCCGUAAACGAUGGGCACUAGGUGUGGGGAGUUAUCGACGCUCUCCGUGCCGUCGCUAACGCAUUAAGUGCCCCGCCUGGGGAGUACGGCCGCAAGGCUAAAACUCAAAGGAAUUGACGG